RNAcentral lists this ribosomal RNA (253 nucleotides) under uncultured bacterium. RNAcentral describes it as "partial 16S ribosomal RNA". It matches the Rfam family "Bacterial small subunit ribosomal RNA", at positions 524 to 776 of the family's 1533-position model. The record is from RNAcentral.
GACAGAGGGUGCAAACGUUGUUCGGAAUUACUGGGCGUAAAGCGCGUGUAGGCGGCUCUGCAAGUCGGGUGUGAAAUCCCACGGCUCAACCAUGGAAGUGCACUCGAAACUGCAGGGCUAGAGUCCUGGAGAGGAAGGUGGAAUGCUUGGUGUAGAGGUGAAAUUCGUAGAUAUCAAGCGGAACACCGGUGGUGAAGGCGGCCUUCUGGACAGUGACUGACGCUGAGACGCGAAAGCGUGGGGAGCAAACAGG